GGGACCAGUAAUGAUGACUGGUGACAUGUAAGUCACGAUGAUGAAUAAUACAUGUGUGGAACUAUGAGGUUCAA
Pteropus vampyrus (large flying fox) is the source of this 74-nucleotide small nucleolar RNA. The record is from Ensembl. Lineage: Eukaryota; Metazoa; Chordata; Mammalia; Chiroptera; Pteropodidae.